UAGGGGAAGGGGGAGGUGCGGUUGCGAUCCUCGGCGGGCGCGUGGACGAUGGGCAUGAUGUCCACGCCGAGGUUGAUGGGAGACGUCGCGGGCUUGUACUCAUACACGUUGCCCUCGGAAAAGUCCUUGAGGUAGGCGGUCAUCUGGGUGCCGAGGUAGGUGGAGAUGACGGAAGGGGGCGCCUCCAUCGCGCCGAGGCGGAAGUCGUUGCCGGGGGACGCGAUGGCGAGGCGCAUGAGGUCGCCGUACUCGUCGACGCCGGCGACGAGCGCGGCCAUGACGAUGGGGAAGAGGU
RNAcentral lists this long non-coding RNA (295 nucleotides) under Micromonas commoda. RNAcentral describes it as "long non-coding RNA (MCOM_LNC000188)". The record is from RNAcentral. Lineage: Eukaryota; Viridiplantae; Chlorophyta; Mamiellophyceae; Mamiellales; Mamiellaceae.